This 641-nucleotide ribosomal RNA is filed under the name Thaxterogaster cf. pinguis Sporo1. RNAcentral describes it as "eukaryotic LSU rRNA". It matches the Rfam family "Eukaryotic large subunit ribosomal RNA", at positions 1 to 621 of the family's 3401-position model. Lineage: Eukaryota; Fungi; Basidiomycota; Agaricomycetes; Agaricales; Cortinariaceae. The record is from RNAcentral.
UGACCUCAAAUCAGGUAGGACUACCCGCUGAACUUAAGCAUAUCAAUAAGCGGAGGAAAAGAAACUAACAAGGAUUCCCCUAGUAACUGCGAGUGAAGCGGGAAAAGCUCAAAUUUAAAAUCUGUCAGUCUUUGGCUGUCCGAGUUGUAAUCUAGAGAAGUGUUAUCCGCGCUGGACCGUGUACAAGUCUCCUGGAAUGGAGCGUCAUAGAGGGUGAGAAUCCCGUCUUUGACACGGACUGCCAGGGCUUUUGUGAUGCGCUCUCAAAGAGUCGAGUUGUUUGGGAAUGCAGCUCAAAAUGGGUGGUAAAUUCCAUCUAAAGCUAAAUAUUGGCGAGAGACCGAUAGCGAACAAGUACCGUGAGGGAAAGAUGAAAAGAACUUUGGAAAGAGAGUUAAACAGUACGUGAAAUUGCUGAAAGGGAAACGCUUGAAGUCAGUCGCGUCAUCCAGGGAUCAACCUUGCUUUUGCUUGGUGUACUUUCUGGUUGACGGGUCAGCAUCAAUUUUGACCAUUGGAAAAAGAUUAAGGGAAUGUGGCAUACAUUAGUGAUGUGUUAUAGCCCUUGGUUGCAUACAAUGGUUGGGAUUGAGGAACUCAGCACGCCGCAAGGCCGGGUUUUUACCACGUACGUGCUUAGG